Molecule: long non-coding RNA, 1507 nt
Filed under: Malus domestica (apple)
Lineage: Eukaryota; Viridiplantae; Streptophyta; Magnoliopsida; Rosales; Rosaceae
Description: long non-coding RNA (MDOM_LNC009560)
Source: RNAcentral
GGUUCAUAAGAGUUUCAUAUUUGUACAAUCAAUAUGGAGCGUACGGGAUUGUCUACUCUACUGGGUGAGCGGUUGAGUACGAAAAUGGAAGCUUACGCCUUCUCAAUUGUUGGAAUCAACUUUUUCACGAUGAAAUCGUUGUUCCAGGAGAAUCCUAGAGGAUAUCUAGAAGUAGAUAUUGCAUCCUUUUUAGGAAGGUGAUUAAUUGCGGCACACGCAAUCCCUAGAUUGUAGGAACUCCAAGACAUAUCAAGAUCUUACUUAUUCCAUACCAAAUUAGAUCUCAUGUCUUGCAGAACAAGCAUGCUCAUUUUAGUGAAGUCGCUCAGACUUCGCCCAUAGCCCUAGAAUAGGAUGAUAGUGGCACCACUGCUCCGUUAAUCCAGCUCUGCUCGGAGCUGUUGAGUCCAUGACCAAACUUUUGAGGUAACCAUAUUCCGAUCAAACUUACUCCGGCUCUAGAAAAUCAUGGUCCCACAUCAAUCAAUCAAUGUAAUGGUUCAUGAAGACAAUAAUUUUUAUCUGACCUUUUAUGGUUUUUUUAGUUUUUAUUUUUUAAACAUUAUUGAAUACUUGGAAGUCUUGAAGAUAUUAGGAAAACUCCCAGACAAUUGAGAUUUUAAUAAUUACUAUAAAGAAAAUAGCAGUGCAUCCAUGGAGAACAAAUUGGGGCAGAGUUUUGCUUAAUGUCACCUUUUAACCAAUAGACUGGGAGAAAAAAGGGAAGAUGGGCUUUGAGAAAGCAAAAGACAAAUUAUACAAGAUUAAUGGUGUUGUUGUUGCAGUUUUUAGGAGGGCAGAGAUUCUGAUUCAGAAGGUUGAGUUUUGCUAAGGUUUUGAGGGAUAGCGUCGAGAAGAAGAUUGAAAUACGCUCGCGUAUUUUAUUGUAUUUUUGAGUUUUAUUAGAAAAUGUUACACGUCAAAUAAAAGUGUUAACAAAGUAUAUAUCUAUAAAUUAAGACUAUUAAAUCAUGGAACAUGUGUCUAAAUAUUAGCAAAGAGCUGCAAUGUAGACACAAAAAUGAGGCAAGCAGAACCGUGAUCCAACCAUUUGGGCAUUUGAAUUUUGACUUGUCUCAUUAGUUAGCUAGGAUGAAUUUUCCCACCGUUCGUGCGAACUUUUUUUUCAUUACCAAAUAGUAAUUGCAUUAGGCAGCCUUUAUUUGCUUUUAUUUGUUUUUUCUUCGGGUCUAUUAGAAUUUCUAUCCACCUGACUAUAUAUAUUAUGGUAUUCUCAAGUAAAAAAAAUGUAAAAUUAGUCAAAGCUUACCAUUUGGGGCAUGGGUUUUUGGUAGAGACGUAGAGGCAUACUAAUCAAAUUCCGUGACUUUAAGGAAGAGGGAGUCAAACCCACCAAUGGUGAGUGGUACAUUAUGGCCCAAACGAGGAAAAGAAACCCUAUGGUUUUCUGUUUAAAUAUAUAUAUAUGUGUGUGUGUGUGUGUGUGUGUGUGUGUGUAAUUGUAUGUAUGUAUGUAUGUGUGUGUGUAUAUUGUGGAUGCAAAUUU